Molecule: long non-coding RNA, 670 nt
Filed under: Phasianus colchicus (ring-necked pheasant)
Lineage: Eukaryota; Metazoa; Chordata; Aves; Galliformes; Phasianidae
Description: lncRNA (ENSPCLG00000003976.1)
Source: RNAcentral
ACCUAGGUUGCUUCUAGUACCAGAUCUGACUCUGUUAUGUCAACUCUGUGCUGCAUUUUGAAGUGUUGGUGUAUAUGCUGUUGCAAAAUACAUCCACCUCGAGAAGCAUCUUUCAAAGUAUGCUUUCUGAGUGUACACUUUGUUUCUGCCCUCCAGAAACAAAGAACAAAUAGGAGCUGAAAAGUUCUUAUGGAAUAAUCAUUUGACUCUGGGGAAGAGAUCAGAAGUGGAUUUCACUCAAUUUCACUGUGUUCUGUCAAGAAGCCUAGCUGAAAGAAAAAGUGGGACUCUGCAGCGUCAGCCAGAUUUGAUUUUGAUUGCCAGCUUUUCAAAAAGGCUGUGCUGGUGGAAGACCAAGCCUGGAGAAUUUGUUGUGAAGUGGAAACCUCCACUGGUUGUUUCCUGUGUGGAGGAGAAUAGGCAUUUCCUGUGCUCCCUACAAGUGAAUCUUUGCAAGAACUUCUUUUUCUUGGAAAAUGGACACCUGGCUUGGAGGAGAUGCAGCACAGAGUCCCUAGCGGAAGCUCAAAAUGGAUGACUUCUACUGAUGCUUUGUGACAAUUUCAUCUCCUCUUUUCCUGUUUGAGAUGGCUGAUAAGAUCAUCAGGAAAAAUUUCUAAAAUAAGCCUGCGUGACAACGUCUCUUUCCCUUAACUCUUCUUUUCACAAA